GGGGGUGAACAGGUACUGCUCUGACUAAAGCAACCUCCUCCCUGUAGCAAUGUUGUUCUGCUCAGCCAAGUCAGAGGUCAGACAGAGCUGCCCAAGGCCCUCCCUCCUGCUGCCCAAAGGAAAGGAAGGGAGCAGCUCCCCAUGCAUGCAUGUGGCUCGGGAGCUGCAACUUCCAGGGCAGAGAGGGCCUGGCCUGCCGGCCUGCCCAGAACCUCGACCGAGGCAAAGGGAACAAGCAACUGGGAAAAGCCAGAGAAAACACCCUGCUUGCAGCCCGGGCAGUCCACUUACGUUGAAGAAGUUGGUCUUGUUCCUCUCACAGAAGAGACCCUGUGCUGGCAUGUGCCUCAGCUGCUGCCAGGGGAGACUGCUGCCUAGCAGCACAUCGCGCGCCCACGGCAGAUUCUAUAUAGGACAGAGUGCAAGAAAAGAACAAAUUGGCUGGCAGGAAGGAGAAGCCAGAGUGGUGGCAGCUGCUGCGUCCCUUCUUUCCAUCCCUCCCUCCUUCAAAGCUCCCCAAGAAAUGUAACUAACUGCUCCCAUAAAGAAUAAGCAGAAAUGGAUUCAGCAGAAAAGCGAAAGGGGCCCAAGUCUCCCCAGCCAUCGUCAAGCCAAUGCAGGUUGCAGCAGCUGUUGCCAUUUAUGGGCUUCUCCAACAUUUGCACAGCCAACAGACUUAUCAGUCGCAGCGCUGAUGUUCAAGCAAGCCGUGAUGGGCAACAAGCAGGUAAGGAAAGUCUAUGAAUCAUUUUUAACAGGGUUAGGGCAACACAGGCAAUAUUGGUUACAAAAGCAUGAAUAUACAAAAAACAGCAGAAACGAACCAAAACAGCCACAAUUGAGUGAACAAUGGCACAGAGUGACAAGAAUGACACUGGCUCCCCUGGAAUGUUUCCCUACCUUCAAGGCCUGGGGAAGCAAGAUCCUGCUGACUGACAAAGGAAGCUGGACAGCAGGGCAGCCAGGAGGGAAAGCAGGCAAAUAAGUCAAGUCUGGCCAAUUUCAAUUUAGACUCUUCCCAUUCCUUUCUAUAGAACGGACUCUGCCGAUCCAAAAUGGGCCCAAGAUGGGCCUCUCUUUAGCAUUUAAUGUUCAACCAGAUGGGUUUUCUCUAGUUGUCUUGUCUCAUUCUGCCGUAAUAAAAGGCAGGCAUCCUUUCAUGCUCUCUGGCUGCGUCACUGAAACUCCAGUACAAAUGUGGCCAGGUCAAGCUGCUUCUGUCCACAGGAGUCCAUUUCUGUGCCCUGGCCUUAACUGUGGGGCUGGGCUGAUGACAAGAGAGUGAUUUUUUUUUUUAAAAGCCUUAUGGUUAAUCUGAGUCACAAUCAAAAUGAGGGACAUGUCAUGGACAUCGCCAUAAGGAAGAGACUGGUCUGAGAAUCAAACUUCUCCUUGUUCAAACCAGGGGGGAGCAUUGCAGAGGCAAGGACAGAGGAGUUCUCCCCCUCACAUCCCCAAGGAGGCCUCCCUAUUCUCCCUGAUUAAGGAUUCAAUUCCUGCCAUGACCAGAUGGUUCUGCCCACCCCUCUGAAAGAGCAGGUCAGCCUCAUUUUCUGGAACUCUUAAGCUGAGGUGUCCCAUCUGAUCAGUUUAGUUGAAAGCCCUAACUGAAAUUCCGAUGCCACAGAUGCUAAUAUUUAUUAGUAAGCCAUUAAACCUGCUAGGACACACUGAGUGAACUGGCUUACAGGGCAAUGGAGAGCAACACCACGAAACAACCAAAUCAACUUUUUCAGCUGACUGGUGGCCAUGGGAGUUAUAAGCGCCAUUUAAUUUAGGCACAAAGUCCCUUCCUGAGGGUGACUAGCUGUUGCUCAACACUUCUGACUCACCCAGCCCAGGUGAAACUGUGCAGGUGUUGAAUUAUGUCUGCAGCCAGUCAUGGAUUGGGUAAGACAAGAAACCGGCUUUCAUUCUGUCUUCUGAGCUGCAUCCAAAUCCCAGAUGGUUUGCAGACAACAUGUGAUCAGUCCUUUAAUGGGGUUUCUCUUAUUUACAGGAGCAUGUUUCUAUCCUCCAUUUCUAUGGAGGCCCUGGCUGACUUUGAGUUAACCUCUCUCUUAGCCCAGUGUACAUCAUAAAACUUUCAUCGGGGAAAAUAAGAGGAGGAGUGCUCUGUGUGUCUUGGUGAACUCCAUAACAAAAUGCAGUAGAUAAAUCUAAUGGUAAUUUUUUAGGGACCAGAACUAGACCCUCACCAUCCCAGGCCUCUCUGUUCAUAUAAAGGACAAACUGAGAAGAGCAGCCCCAGGGACACCCCUCCCCCCAGGGUCGAGGGCUCCUAAUGAUCUUCUAUAACUGCAUUUCAUCUCUGACCCAUAAAUACUCGUAAGUAUUUAUGGCCAACUGAAACAUUUCCCUUUCUCCCUUCCAUGGCUGGUUAUCAGGAUUUAUCUUGCUCCACUCCCUCCCAACUGUGGCAGUUUCACCCCUGAGACUUGCCACAAUUCACUUCUCCUCUGGCCCUGCUUGGAGAGGGUCCCCCGAGAGCACCCCCGGAAAACUCUCACUGUUUUCUGAGUAAAAGUGGUCACUCAUUUGUCGUUGCUUCUAGCAUGUGCCACUUGGAUUUAAGGAGUUAUAUUGCAAGAGAGACCAGUAUGUUCCAAAAGAGAAGCCUUCUCAGAAAAGCAGUUUUAUGGGGCGACCAUGGACAGAGAAAUGAGAAAAUAGGUAGAUGGUGGCAAAAAUGCCAACAAAACAAUGCUGAAGCUCCUCUCAAAGGGAAGUGGAGCAGGGGAUGCAUCCUGGUGAAUGGGCCCAGGUCCACCAAAGAUCAAAGGUCUAGCUCUCUGGGCCAAAUUAUUCCAAAAGGAUGAGACAAGAUCUGUCACCCAGAUCCUCGUGCGCAAUGUUUGCAAGAAGGUUCCUAAAUAGGCAGCUAUCAUUAGUGGGUGGAGGGCAUCGUCUCUGGCUAUGACUGAAUGCCAAAAAUGAAUGAGCGACCCAAUGGUUGCAAUGGAAGACAGGAAGGGAAGCUGCAUUAUUGGUCUGCCUCUUGACUGACAGGAAAGGCUUCACCUGCAUGCUCGGCCUUAAGCCCUGCUUGGCCUACAGAGGCCAGGAAACAGCCUGGGGGUGAGGCUGUUUCUACCUUUUCCACACAAGGAAAGCAGCGGUCUCCACCUUGAUGCCCAAGAUCCAACUGAAGCCCCAUAAAGCAAGCAGGCAGCUGUUAAGAGGAAGCCCCUUCCUGUCUACCCUUUUGGAGCAUUUUGGAGGACUGGAGAGCAACUCUGUGGCAGACUCCUCAGCGCUCCCUGGAAGAGAUGGCAGAGCUUUCUGUGACAGAGGCAGACCCUUGCAAGGCAACCUGGUGGACCAGGGCCCACCCCAACAGGCAGCCACUUCCCAUCCAGCUGCAGCAGGACAAGCCGCCCAUCUGCUGCAGCACAAAGCCAACCCGACCCGUGAGAAGAAAGGGACAGUGUGCAGUGCCCAUGCUGUGACAGCCAGGAAUCCUGGGAGUUGAAGUCAUCCCAAGUGGGGCGCUCAGGACGAGGGCAGAAGUUUGGAUUUUUGGAGGGACUCUGGGAAAUGCCUCGAGCCUGAGACCUCAGGAAAGCGCAUGAACUAGACCCGCCUAUUGUUUAGGUCAGAGGGGAGGUGGUGGCAAAGGGGUUAAUGAGUGACAAUAUUGCCCGUGUUACCCUAGACCCCUCGCCCUCCUGGAAGCCGCCAAUUGAGCCCGCCCGCCCGCCAGGAGUCCAGCACCUCCAAGUGCCGACAGUAUUGAGAACAGGGACUGUACCAUCCGGUGUUGCCUGCUGAUGGCUUUUUUUACAUUUGACGUAAUCGUGGUCAACUGGAGUGGCUGUGUAGGGUGGGGAAGUCAGACCUGGACCAGAGGAAGAGAGCAGGGAAGUCCCGGGGCCUGGCAGAGUUCCUGCAGAAGAAUGCGAGUCCUCGUCUGCCAUGCAAAGCUUUUCCCUGGGGGAAGAAAAGGAUGAGACCGUGAAGAGCGGGAAGGCCCACCAUGGCUCCUGGGGUGGGGUGAGGGGAAUGGGG
Long non-coding RNA from Laticauda laticaudata (blue-ringed sea krait), 4008 nucleotides. The record is from Ensembl. Lineage: Eukaryota; Metazoa; Chordata; Lepidosauria; Squamata; Elapidae.